This 175-nucleotide long non-coding RNA is filed under the name Ictidomys tridecemlineatus (thirteen-lined ground squirrel). RNAcentral describes it as "lncRNA (ENSSTOG00000031917.1)". The record is from RNAcentral. Lineage: Eukaryota; Metazoa; Chordata; Mammalia; Rodentia; Sciuridae.
GGCCCAUGACCCCACCCUUCACUUCGUCUCCCAGAAAGAGAACCAAAAGGAUCGGCUCUGACAUCCUGUAGCCAUGUCAUCUGCUCUGCUGGGUUGCAGGGACCAAGGUGGACCCCCAGGAUCACGUGUCCUCCAGUUCUAAUUUUUCAGGGACUUCUGGCAAGAUGGCUUAGCA